UACGAAGGGAGCUAGCGUUGCUCGGAAUUACUGGGCGUAAAGGGCGCGUAGGCGGAUGUUUAAGUCAGAGGUGAAAGCCCAGGGCUCAACCUUGGAAUUGCCUUUGAAACUGGACAUCUUGAGUACGGGAGAGGUGAGUGGAACUCCGAGUGUAGAGGUGAAAUUCGUAGAUAUUCGGAAGAACACCAGUGGCGAAGGCGACUCACUGGCCCGUUACUGACGCUGAGGCGCGAAAGCGUGGGGAGCAAACAGG
RNAcentral lists this ribosomal RNA (253 nucleotides) under uncultured bacterium. RNAcentral's name for it is "partial 16S ribosomal RNA". It matches the Rfam family "Bacterial small subunit ribosomal RNA", at positions 524 to 776 of the family's 1533-position model. The record is from RNAcentral.